Molecule: ribosomal RNA, 46 nt
Filed under: Phytophthora cactorum
Lineage: Eukaryota; Oomycota; Peronosporomycetes; Peronosporales; Peronosporaceae
Also listed under: 3 other names
Description: partial 28S ribosomal RNA
Source: RNAcentral
UUGGACCUGAUAUCAGGCAAGAUUACCCGCUGAACUUAAGCAUAUC